This is a long non-coding RNA of Felis catus (domestic cat), 1685 nucleotides long. RefSeq lists it as uncharacterized. The transcript has 5 exons. Lineage: Eukaryota; Metazoa; Chordata; Mammalia; Carnivora; Felidae. The record is from RefSeq and is a predicted model, not a curated record.
UACUGAUGACACUUCUAGUCGCAUGGUGGUAGGGGCAGUGGGUGACUGGGCACCUGGAGAACAGAAAAGCCAUGAACCGAUGGGAAGAUGGGUGCAAAUGGGACACGUCUGGGGCAGAAGUAAGUGGAUGAAUAGGGAAGAGAGGAGGAGUUCAGUUUUGGAUAUAGGAAGUUUGAGAUGCCUAGUAGCUAUCCAAAUGGGGAGACCAAUAAGUGACUAGAUAGUUUGGAGCUGGCUGUAGAUAUAAAUCUGAAAGUUAGUGAUGUCGUUUGAAAGCCAUGAGAUUAGGUGAGCUCACUGAGGAAUAGAGAAAAAGAGGACCACCCCCGAAUCCAGGCUGUCUGACAUGAAAACUCAGGGAGGAGAAGAGAAACUGACAAAAACAGAUUGAAAAAGAGGGAUCAGUGUUGUAGGAGGAAGAUCUCAGAGAAGAGACAGGGACCAACUUUGUCAGAUGGGCUGCUGUGUCAAAACCGCAUGGACGCUGAAUGGACGGCUGACGUCAGCAACAUAAAGAUUCGAAGCCAGGGUUGAGUCCUCCUAACAGGGCGAGUUCUCUGACAAGGAAGUUUUGCAAGCAAAUUUACAGCUGGAGUCAAGCUCGUCAGUGAGGGCCAGAGGGGAACUGUCGCAAUCCACUGGGUGUUUGAAAAAUGCCUCUAACGUGUGUGGGCUAGAAUACAUUUUGUUUUUCUGUGGGCAUAUUCAUUUAACAAGGGCAGCCUUUGAGGAACGAUCAAAAACUGUUUGUCAUUUUUCCAAAUCAUCUCUCUCUGCGGUGACCAUGACUUAAUCCUGAAGGAAAACAAGUCUUUUCCCUUCUGGUCUCUGCGCUCUUGAAGGACAUUUGGGCCUGAAGUCCCAGGACUUAAGGCUGAUCCCGGCACAGAUGAGGACAGGAAGAGGUGGUAAAGAAAAUAAGCUUACAAAUAUAGCCUACGAAACCACGCAUGAGUAAAUAAAGAACUAGGAGACGCCACUGCAGAGGAGAGGACGAGAAGCACCUGAGGGCAGAGGUGGGAAUGGGUGCAGAAGGGACUCUGACACAAUCGGAGAAGCUCCCACAAGCAUGGUGCCUGAUGCCUGACACAGCAAAGUGUAUCUGCUCUAUUGCAAACGUCUUUACCUUUUUCAGAUGAGAGUUCCAUUAUUUCACAAUGACAAAUUUUACUUUGUUUUUCUGUAUCAUGGUGACAUAAGGUCAUGUUCCCAGGGUUGUGGGAUCGAGCCCCGCAUCAGGCUCCUCGCUGAGUGUCGAGUCUGCUUAAGAUUCUGUCUCUCUCUCCCUCUGCCUUUCCCCAACUCGAGUGUAUGCUCUCUCUUUCUCUCUGUCUCAAAAAAAAAAUAGUAUUUGAGGCUGGAGUUUCCUUACCUGUGAAGUAAGGCAGAUCAACCAAUUCAUCCAGAAGAGCAUCCCUUUCAAAGUUUAGACACUACAAAGACUUCAAAUAGCAUCCUCUGUUUCUACAUUUACUGGCCUUCUGUUAAGACAACAUGUCCUACAAACCACAGUCCAGAAGCCAGGCAUUGCAGCUUGGCAUCAGCUCAGCCUACGAGAGAAAAAUUCCAUCUCAUUUUAUUUAUUUUUAAAUGUUUGUUUAAUGUGAGAGAGAGAGAGAGAGAGAGAGCAGGGGAGGAGCAGAGAGAGGGGGAGAGAGAGAAUCCCAAGCAGGCUCCGCACUGUC